This is a non-coding RNA of Potamilus streckersoni, 77 nucleotides long. NCBI's taxonomy places the organism in Eukaryota, Metazoa, Mollusca, Bivalvia, Unionida, Unionidae. The record is from the annotation of a GenBank genome assembly.
GACCGCUCCGGUGACAUAGUGGUUAGAGCGUCCGCCUUGGAUGCGGGAGAUCGCGGGUUCAAAUCCAGACCGAGUCA